Molecule: long non-coding RNA, 218 nt
Filed under: Medicago truncatula (barrel medic)
Lineage: Eukaryota; Viridiplantae; Streptophyta; Magnoliopsida; Fabales; Fabaceae
Description: long non-coding RNA (MTRU_LNC005993)
Source: RNAcentral
UGGCAUCUUACUUUCACGGCCACUCCACUUCACCGGUGACGAAUCCAUGGUUGUGGUUGUUUCUGUCAUCAACUCGUCCUGUUCAUUUCCCGUCGUCGUUCUAUCGGUGUCCUUAUUAAUGGGUUUUAUGUGCAAAUUGGAUCAUUUUAUUUUGAAAGUUGAAUUGAUUUCCUAUGCUAAUUGAAGUGAUUUGUGGUUGUUCAUUGGCUACUUUGAUG